This 1239-nucleotide ribosomal RNA is filed under the name metagenome. RNAcentral describes it as "bacterial LSU rRNA". It matches the Rfam family "Bacterial large subunit ribosomal RNA", at positions 1667 to 2925 of the family's 2925-position model. The record is from RNAcentral.
GUAGGUAGAGUAUACCAAGGGGCGCGAGAUAACUCUCUCUAAGGAACUCGGCAAAAUGACUCCGUAACUUCGGGAGAAGGAGUGCCUUAUUUAUAAGGUUGCAAUAACAAGAUCCAAGCAACUGUUUAUCAAAAACACAGGUCUCCGCUAAGUCGUAAGACGAUGUAUGGGGGCUGACGCCUGCCCAGUGCCAGAAGGUUAAAGAAGUUGGUUAGUUUCGGCGAAGCUGAUAACUGAAGCCCUGGUGAACGGCGGCCGUAACUAUAACGGUCCUAAGGUAGCGAAAUUCCUUGUCGGGUAAGUUCCGACCCGCACGAAAGGCGUAAUGAUUUGGAUACUGUCUCGGAGAGGGGCUCGGUGAAAUAGACUUGUCUGUGAAGAUGCGGACUACCUGCACCUGGACAGAAAGACCCUAUGAAGCUUUACUGUAACUUGAGAUUGAAAUUGGACUUUAUUUGCGCAGUAUAGGUGGGAGACGUUGAGAAUAUUCUUGCGGGAGUAUUGGAGUCAUCAGUGAGAUACCACUCUUGUAAUGUUAGAUUUCUAACUUUGUAUCAUUAUCUGGUCAAAGGACAGUUUCAGGCGGGCAGUUUGACUGGGGCGGUCGCCUCCUAAAGGGUAACGGAGGCGCACAAAGGUUUCCUCUGAACGUGUAGAAAUCGUAUCUAGAGUGUAAAGGCAUAAGGAAGCUUGACUGUGAGACCUACAAGUCGAGCAGGGACGAAAGUCGGUCUUAGUGACCUGACGGUGCUGAGUGGAAAGGCCGUCACUCAACGGAUAAAAGUUACUCUAAGGAUAACAGGCUGACCUCCCCCAAGAGUUCACAUCGACGGGGAGGUUUGGCACCUCGAUGUCGGCUCAUCGCAUCCUGGGGCGGUAGUACGUCCCAAGGGUUGGGCUGUUCGCCCAUAAAAGCGGUACGCGAGCUGGGUUCAGAACGUCGUGAGACAGUUCGGUCCAUAUCCGGUGUAGGCGUUAGAAUAUUGAGAGGAGCCUUCUUUAGUACGAGAGGACCGAGAAGGACAUACCUCUGGUCUACCAGUUAUCGUGCCAACGGUAAACGCUGGGUAGCUAUGUAUGGAGUGGAUAACCGCUGAAAGCAUCUAAGUGGGAAGCCCACCUCAAGAUAAGUAUUCUCAUCACGUAAGUGAGUAAGGUCACGGUAAGACUAACCGUUUGAUAGGCAUUAAGUGUAAAUCUAGUAAUAGAUGAGCUGAGAUGUCCUAACAGACCGAGGAC